UACGUAGGUGGCAAGCGUUGUCCGGAUUUAUUGGGUUUAAAGGGUGCGUAGGCGGCAGAUUAAGUCAGCGGUGAAAUUCCACAGCUCAACUGUGGAACUGCCAUUGAUACUGGUUUGCUUGAGUACAGAUGAGGUAGGCGGAAUUGACAGUGUAGCGGUGAAAUACGUAGAGAUGUCAUAGAACACCGAUUGCGAAGGCAGCUGACGAAACUAUAACUGACACUGAGGCUCGAAAGUGCGGGGAUCAAACAGG
This 253-nucleotide ribosomal RNA is filed under the name uncultured bacterium. RNAcentral's name for it is "partial 16S ribosomal RNA". It matches the Rfam family "Bacterial small subunit ribosomal RNA", at positions 524 to 776 of the family's 1533-position model. The record is from RNAcentral.